GAUGAACGCUGGCGGCGUGCCUAAUACAUGCAAGUCGAGCGAACAGACGAGGAGCUUGCUCCUCUGACGUUAGCGGCGGACGGGUGAGUAACACGUGGAUAACCUACCUAUAAGACUGGGAUAACUUCGGGAAACCGGAGCUAAUACCGGAUAAUAUAUUGAACCGCAUGGUUCAAUAGUGAAAGACGGUUUUGCUGUCACUUAUAGAUGGAUCCGCGCCGCAUUAGCUAGUUGGUAAGGUAACGGCUUACCAAGGCAACGAUGCGUAGCCGACCUGAGAGGGUGAUCGGCCACACUGGAACUGAGACACGGUCCAGACGCCUACGGGAGGCAGCAGUAGGGAAUCUUCCGCAAAGGGCGAAAGCCUGGCGGAGCAACGCCGCGUGAGUGAUGAAGGUCUUCGGAUCGUAAAACUCUGUUAUUAGUGAAGAACAAAUGUGUAAGUAACUAUGCACGUCUAGACGGUACCUAAUCAGAAAGCCACGGCUAACUACGUG
RNAcentral lists this ribosomal RNA (497 nucleotides) under uncultured bacterium. RNAcentral's name for it is "partial 16S ribosomal RNA". It matches the Rfam family "Bacterial small subunit ribosomal RNA", at positions 28 to 507 of the family's 1533-position model. The record is from RNAcentral.